Molecule: long non-coding RNA, 1432 nt
Filed under: Sparus aurata (gilthead seabream)
Lineage: Eukaryota; Metazoa; Chordata; Actinopteri; Spariformes; Sparidae
Description: lncRNA (ENSSAUG00010007434.1)
Source: RNAcentral
AUGUUCUGCAGGUGGACAGCCCCGUCCGUCUUCAUCGUUCUCUUCCUCAGAGUUCAGAGCAUCGACUCGUCUCUUGCUCCGGACAACUCUCUGGAGACUUUCGAUCUUCCUGAAAUCGACGGUUCUGCUGUGGACUGCUGUAGGAUUUUCCCUCUCCCCACACCCCAAACCACCACGACAGCAACUCCAACAACAACUCCAACUACAACCACAACCACACCCACUACCAGGAAGGUGACCACGACCACAAAGCCAGCCACCCGACCACCACCGAAGAUCGACCACGCCAGUAUCAACAUCCUCCUGCAAUACCUCCUGGCCAACAGCAGACGCCACACAGGUGGUUCUCUACCCAGGGUUAUCUCUCAGCCUCGCAGGGUUCAAAGUUCAUCUGAAAGCAAUGAAGCAGCCAGAAGGCGGCAUAGAAUAGUUGGUCGGAGGAAUACAGGUUCGUCAUCUUCAGACUCAAGUGACGAGUCUUAAUGGCAUUUUUAAAUUCUAGUUGUUAAACAAAGCUAAGAAAAUUUGCUUCCUGAAAGGGUUUUUCUUCGAAAACUUUACGAAUCCCAAGACAACCAUGAAAUUUGUCAGCCAAAAAAAUGUUGUAGCUUCCGAUAUCAUUGUAAUAUUGUAUAUGUUGUUAUUGAAUAUUGUGCACUAAAGUAUUAAGAUGUGUGAAUGUUGAUUUACUGCUGCUGCUGUCACUAAUCAAGAUCAACACUUUAAAAAAGCUUCUUUAUUUAUAUUACAUGUAAGACAAUUGCAGUAACACAGUUUGUUGAACCAUUAUUUAAAAUGUAUUCAUAUGUUAAUGACCUGUUUUAAAAAGAUGUAAUAUAAAUAAUAAAAACAAACCUGGAAUUGUUGAUUAACUGUGGUUUAUACAUUUUUUAGACAUUUUCCAUCUCUGUUUUGACUAAAGAUGUUCAUAGAUCAUCAUUUCAUUCUUGUAUUUACAUCAUAAUUGUGUUUAAUACUUGAAUGCAACACAUGUCUUUGAUUUCAGGACUGACGUCAGCAACACUGACAUGUCAAUAUAACCAGUUUGUUUAUAGCACUGUCUUUUGUUCAUUCUGGAUUCAUCUGCUGAUUAUUAGUUUCCAUUAAUCGAACGUUUGGAUUGUAAAAAAGCAGAGAAUCCAAUUUGUAAAGUUAGAACCAUAAAAUGUUUUUGUUAUGUUAGUGUGAUAACAAUAGUACCAAUAGAAGAAAGGAGUCUGAAAUGGGUUUUUUCUUAGGGUGAGUGUGAAUCAGUACUGUUGUACCCGUGCUGCUGUGGUUCUGAUGGACGAACAGACGGAGCCAAAUGGUUUUCUUUCCUUUGAUCCUUGGAAGUUCCUUUGUCAUGUUUACCUGAGAAAACAAUUAUCACUUUAUUUUAGUUUUCCACCAGUUAGAUUAAUAAGUCAGAUAUCAAUAAAUAUUAAGUGCA